CCGGGGGGGGGGUGCUAUACAUGCAAGUCGAGCGCAGGAGCAGGCAGAUCCCCUUCGGGGGUGAUGCCUGUGGAAUGAGCGGCGGACGGGUGAGUAACACGUGGGCAACCUGCCUGUAAGAUCGGAAUAACUCCGGGAAACCGGGGCUAAUGCCGGGUAAUCCUUUUUCUCGCAUGAGAGAGAGGUAAAAGAUGGCCUUUGGCUAUCACUUACAGAUGGGCCCGCGGCGCAUUAGCUAGUUGGUGAGGUAACAGCUCACCAAGGCGACGAUGCGUAGCCGACCUGAGAGGGUGAUCGGCCACACUGGGACUGAGACACGGCCCAGACUCCUACGGGAGGCAGCAGUAGGGAAUCUUCCGCAAUGGACGAAAGUCUGACGGAGCAACGCCGCGUGAACGAUGAAGGUCUUCGGAUCGUAAAGUUCUGUUGUUAGGGAAGAACAAGUACCGUGCGAAUAGAGCGGUACCUUGACGGUACCUAACGAGGAAGCCCCGGCUAACUACGUGCCAGCAGCCGCGGUAAUACGUAGGGGGCAAGCGUUGUCCGGAAUUAUUGGGCGUAAAGCGCGCGCAGGCGGUUUCUUAAGUCUGAUGUGAAAGCCCACGGCUCAACCGUGGAGGGUCAUUGGAAACUGGGGAACUUGAGGACAGAAGAGGAGAGUGGAAUUCCACGUGUAGCGGUGAAAUGCGUAGAUAUGUGGAGGAACACCAGUGGCGAAGGCGACUCUCUGGUCUGUUUCUGACGCUGAGGUGCGAAAGCGUGGGUAGCAAACAGGAUUAGAUACCCUGGUAGUCCACGCC
RNAcentral lists this ribosomal RNA (800 nucleotides) under Halobacillus sp. JSM 101095. Its description in RNAcentral is "bacterial SSU rRNA". It matches the Rfam family "Bacterial small subunit ribosomal RNA", at positions 36 to 801 of the family's 1533-position model. Lineage: Bacteria; Bacillati; Bacillota; Bacilli; Caryophanales; Bacillaceae. The record is from RNAcentral.